UGUGGGAGCGAGCUUGCUCGCGAUGGCGGUGAGUCAGGCAGCAUCAAUGCUGGAUGCUCCGUCGCUAUCGCGAGCAAGCUCGCUCCCACA
This 90-nucleotide unclassified non-coding RNA is filed under the name Pseudomonas brassicacearum. The record is from RNAcentral. Lineage: Bacteria; Pseudomonadati; Pseudomonadota; Gammaproteobacteria; Pseudomonadales; Pseudomonadaceae.